Molecule: non-coding RNA, 967 nt
Organism: Miniopterus natalensis
Lineage: Eukaryota; Metazoa; Chordata; Mammalia; Chiroptera; Miniopteridae
Source: RefSeq, a predicted model, not a curated record
AGAGAGACACAUUGAUUGAUUGCCUCCUGUACUGGCCCCAACCAGGGCCAGGGAUUGAGCCUGCAGACACGGUACAUUCCCUUGAUCAGAAUUGAACCUGCGACCCUUCAUUCUGAGGGCAGACGCUCUAACCACUGAGCCAAACCAGCUAGGGUGGAUCCAGUUCUUUUGAUCAAGGCAUUUAAUGUCUCCUUCCUAUUUUUAUAUUUGUUUAUUGUUUUGUCUCCAGGGGAAAAGGUUGGAUGGCUGUGUAAAUGCCUAUGCCAUAAAUGUGUCUCAGAAGAAGAAGUACAGAGAUAGAGACGAGGACAGGGGGAGAGAUAGAGAAAGAGAAAGGUCAACUCGAGAGAGACACCUUGAUCGGCCAUAUCGCUCGCGCACCCCAACCAGGGACCGAACCCACAACUCAAGCAUACGCACUGAACGGGAAUCAAACCGGCGAUCCCACAGUACACGGGACUACACUCAUCCAACUGAGCCACACCGGCCGGGGCUAAAAUUAUAGAUUUAAAAAAGAUCUUUCCUGAAUUUCUCAUCUAGAUUGAUUAUGCAGUACACGAAUUGAAAAGGUGGAUUCAACAGACCUUUGGAUUUCAUUGGGUGAGAAAUGAAAUGUUGAAGAAUGAUUUUUUCCAUCAUCUUGAUCAGAAGAGUGGAUUUUGUAUUUUGUAUUUCAUAAGCAUCAAAACAGGACAGGAUGACAAUCCUUCCUCCUUGUAAAGUAAGAAAAUUUUACCUAUGAUGUGUGCAGUUCAUUUACCCUGCCUCAAAAGAAGAAAUGUUAAAUAUUACAUUUUUUUUUAUUUUAGGAAGUAUCAUUUGGGGCUAUCAUCAACCCUGUUUUUUUUGUCUUUAUUCCGUGGAAGCUGUAUGUUUUCUUCUUGGUGUCGUUAGGACUUUUUAAAACACCUAAAAAUAAUUUGGAUGUAAGCUUCUCAAAUAAAGCAAUAUUUCUACCCCUUUGUAA